UUCGAUCAUGGCUCAGAUUGAACGCUGGCAGGAUGCUUUACAUGCAGGAGUCAGGCAGCAGCACGGACUUCAGUCCUGGUAGCGAGUGGCGAACGGGUGAAGUAUGUAUCAGGGCAAUGCUAAUGGCAGGGAUAACUACGCGAAAGCGUAGCUAAUACCGCAUACUUCGAAGGAAAGCAGAGGAUAUCCCGGGCCUCGCACUAUUAGAGCGGCCGAUAUCGGAUUGGCCUAGUUGGUGGGGUAACGGCUCACCAAGGCGACGAUCCGUAGCUGGUUUAAGGGGACGACCAACCACACUGGGACUGAGACGGCCAGACUCCUACGGGAGGCAGCGUGGGAAUUUGGAUAAUGGGAAACCUGAUCCACAGCCAUCCGCGUGUGCGAUGAAGGCCUUCCGGGUUGUAAAAAGCACUUUUGGCAGAGAAAAGAAAACAGCACGGGAUAAUACCCGUGCAGCUGACCACCUGCAGAAUAAGCACCCGGCUAACUACGUGCCAGCAGCCGCGGUAAUACGUAGGGUGCAAGCGUUAAUCGGAAUUACUGGGCGUAAAGCGUGCGCAGGCGCGGUUCUGGAGAGAAAGAUGUGAAAUCCCAGGCUUAACUUUGGAACUGCAUUUUUAACACCGACCUAUGAAUGUGUCGGAGGAGAUUAGAUUCCCGUGUAGCAGUGAAAUGCGUAGACAUGCGGAGGAACAUUAGCGAAGGCAGCCUCCUGGGAUAACACUGACGCUCAUGCACGAAAGCGUGGGAGCAAACAGGAUUAGAUACCCUGGUAGUCCACGCCCUAAACGAUGUCAACUAGCUGUUGGGGCCUUCGGGCCUUGGUAGCGCAACCUUCCCAACGCGUGAAGUUGACCGCCUGGGGGAGUACGGUCGCAAGAUUAAAACUCAAAGGAAUUGACGGGGACCCGCACAAGCGGUGGAUGAUGUGGAUUAAUUCGAUGCAACGCGAAAAACCUUACCUACCCUUGGCAUAUCUGGAAUCCCGAGAUUUGGGAGUGCUCGCAAGAGAACCGGAACACAGGUGCUGCAUGGCUGUCGUCAAAACAAUGUGAGAUGUUGGGUUAAAAAGUCCACAACGGUACAACCCUUGUCAUUAGUUGCUACGAAAGGGCACUCUAAUGAAGACUAUGAUAAACCGGAGGAAGGUGGGGAUGACGUCAAGUCCUCAUGGCCACAUAUGGUGGGACUUCACACGUCAUACAAUGGUCGGGACAGAGGGUCGCCAACCCGCGAGGGAGCCAAUCCCAGAAACCCGAUCGUAGUCCGGAUCGCAGUCUGCAACUCGACUGCGUGAAGUCGAAGUCGCUAAACUAAUCGCGGAUCAGCAUGUCGCGGUGAAUACGUUCCCGGGUCUUGUACACCGCCCGUCACACCAUGGGAGUGGGUUUUACCCGAAGUGGUUAGCUAACCGGCAAGGAGGCGAUUACUACGGUAAGUUCAUGACUGAAAUUCAAGUCAUGUUAACA
This 1469-nucleotide ribosomal RNA is filed under the name uncultured Bordetella sp. Its description in RNAcentral is "partial 16S-23S ribosomal RNA intergenic spacer". It matches the Rfam family "Bacterial small subunit ribosomal RNA". The record is from RNAcentral. Lineage: Bacteria; Pseudomonadati; Pseudomonadota; Betaproteobacteria; Burkholderiales; Alcaligenaceae.